GCGUAGGGUACGUAGGUGGAUAGUUCAAUAUAUAGUUAAAGACUGAGGAAGACCCUCUUUUACUCUAUGUUUACUGACUAUCUGAGUUCUAUAGGUGAUGAUUUGAAUUCCUUAAGUAAGGGUUAAAUUGUUGAUAUUGGAAGACAUUCGAAGGCGGAAGCUAACAUCAAUGUAGAUCUGACACUAGGUACUAAAGUAUGGGGAUAAAGAGGAUUAGAGACCUUGUAGUCCAUACCUUAAACUAUGAGUAUUCAACGUCCUUGUGCAUUUCAAUCUUCGUAUUAACAUGAUAGGAUUGUCGGAGCAUGAGGGGGUUUAAAGCUAACGCGUGAAAUACCGCCUGGGGAAUGUGGCCGCAAGGUUAAACUCAAAGGAAUUGACGGAGGCUUGUACAAGG
RNAcentral lists this ribosomal RNA (397 nucleotides) under Diachea subsessilis. RNAcentral's name for it is "partial small subunit ribosomal RNA". It matches the Rfam family "Bacterial small subunit ribosomal RNA", at positions 558 to 930 of the family's 1533-position model. The record is from RNAcentral. Lineage: Eukaryota; Evosea; Eumycetozoa; Stemonitida; Stemonitidae.